GUAUAUAUGUGUCAAGAGUUCUUAUCAGUUCUAUUAUGUGAUCAUCUGUCCACAGAGAAAGAGAACACUGGAUUGGCACCAUCUUUCACUGCUUUUAAAACACCUAUGGCUGGAUGCCUAGCUAAUGACUCCUUCAGAGACCCUUGUAAUGAACUCCUGGAGUUCUAUUCUGGGGGAGGGGGACCUGGCAGACAUGUGAUCAGCUCACACUAGAGCAAGCAUGCUGCUUUGAGUGGUAUCAAGAUUCCAUGACAGUUUCAGCAGAGAGAAACUGGGAUGCAGGAAGCGCCUCCAGAUCUGCAUGAGAGUGUCUUCAGGAUGAGAAGGGAAAAAUACACCAAGCAACAGUUUUUCUUUUCCAAAUAUAACCUGUUUUACUGUUCAAGCAGAGGCUAAAAACAAUGAAAACUUUACUUUCAAUAGAAAAUUCUGGCACUGAAAAGCCUGAAGCAAUGUCGACUUUGUGGUUCUGCUUUUGAACAGAAGGCAAGGUGGAUGUGGAAGCUAACUACUGAGGGCUAGACCUUUCCUUCUGCUGUCCUGGUGGACAAGGUGAAAAGAGAGAAUAGCCAGAUUCUAUCCCCUUGUGUGAACAGUGGAUCAGGAUCUCUCCCUAGAGUUCCAAGAAAUACUGGGAGAAUGCUCCAGCAAUCAAGUUGGUCCCACAUAAUGAUCCAAAGGGGGCACUGUCUUUAGCAAGGGGGGGAUGUCAGCUUUUUCUGAUGGCUGGUUCAUAUGCUGCAGUUGGGAGUACAUGCUGCUCCUGUGCAGUGAAGUGGGCUCCAAAGGAUAUCCCCAUGCAUGCCCCUUGUAAUUAGUCCUUAGAUCUCAGGCUUCCUAGAGCAGAGGACACCUUUGCCAGCAUCCAUCCUCUUCUUUGGAAAGCCAGCAGAAAAUGUAACCAGAGACAAUAUAAACAGCUAUGUGAUGUUAUAUGAUUAAAAUCUGACCAUAUAGAUCAUUGUUACUACCACUGUUAUAUAAUUGCAAUAAAUAUUGUACAAAGUAUGUCAUGUAAGGUGCCAACGAAAAAGUUAUGAUUUGCUGAAUAUGAUUAUCCAAUUUGUAUGUAUAUCAUUUUUGUAUCUGAAGUUAUGAAUAUUGACUAUGUACCUGUAUUUCAAAUGUGUUUGCUCUUGUGGUAACACCCACAGGGUAAUUUGCAUCCAGUCUGAUCAACACAUUGUGAAUAGAGUAUUCAAGUUGAUGACCCAUUAAUGAACAUAGUGGACCAUGUAAGAAGCCGAUCCACACCUGAUGGACUUCCAUGUGAAUGUUCUAACUAGAGUAUGGGUAAUUGUCUCUGCUAUGACUCAUCAAAACAUGCAAGGGUAUGUGACUUGCUCGUGUGACUCCAAACUCCAUCUUGUGCCUGUAAUUUUCCACAAACUGAGACCAUGGGUUUCCCUAGCAGAAGCUGUAAAAGGCACAUUGAAACAACUCAAUUUUGCCUCUUUCCUGCUCUGAUCUCUGGACUAUGGACUUAUACUAAUGGGAGCAUUCUAACCAAAGGACUGAGGAUCUUCCAAUCUUUUGGAAGCAACCAGAGACUUAACAAGCCAGCAGUUUAUGCCAUCACUGCUUCAAACCUGAUACAAGAACUUUGCAAUUAUUGUAUCUAUUUGAUUCGUUAACCAAUUGUAA
Long non-coding RNA from Mauremys mutica (yellowpond turtle), 1644 nucleotides. RefSeq lists it as uncharacterized. The record is from RefSeq and is a predicted model, not a curated record. The transcript has 3 exons. Lineage: Eukaryota; Metazoa; Chordata; Testudines; Geoemydidae.